AACUGCCCCUGAAGUGAGAAAUGUGAGAGUAUUUAGAACAUUUGUAUCAUAUCCAUUUGACCUGUCAGAGCUCACUGUUAGAUACACUCAUCUGUAACUUACUUAGUAAAUACUCUGCAGCAUCCUGCUCAUAGUCUGCGUCAUCAGGAAAGUGAUCAAUGUCUUUACAAACACCUCGAAAUAUCCCUGAAAAGACAACAAAAAAAAAGUCUGCAUUUGUAAUGCAUACUCUCAUGCACAGCGCCUGAGCCAACAGAAACUCUUAUCAUAGGGGGAGCUAAUUGAACUGAUUCUUAAGUUGCUAAGAUCUACAUUUUUAUGCAAGAUGGCCGUUAUAUCUGAAAAUGUGUGUGUCUCUACACACACACAAAUUUUUUGGGAUUGGGAGGUUGUAGUGGAAAAGUAAAGACAGGAACCCCAAAUUCAAGCUAGUAGGUUUCCUGGUUUGGAGAAACUAUCUGAAGUGGUCCACAUCUCUGCACUGUAAAAAGAUGGAUAUUCCUCACUCUUUCUUAAAGGAAAGAGACCUGGAAUCACACUGACAAUAAAUUCUACAACUGGAGAUUUUGUUAGAAAUUAGAGGUCUUUGAACUCAAUUGGUGCCACUGAUUUCAUGUAGGGGAAUUGGACGAAAGGAGGUUGAAUAAAAAUAAUUUAUACACUUUUUAGACUUCUACACAAAUAUGAAGCAUAAUGAGUUGGUCUAUAUAAAAGAAAAGAAUAGAGUAGGAUAGAAUUUUACUAUAUAUAAUAAAAUAUAACAUAGUGAAAUAGAAUAGAAUAGAAACCGCCUAUAUUGUCCCGAAAAAAGAAAAUUCAGGUGUAAGAGAUAUAAAGGUCCACACAAAAAAGGUCUUAAUAUUGGGUUCUGCAGGGGAGUGUUUUCUCUACAUUUACAGGGUGGCAGGCUGAUGGGAUCCAGCUGGGGCUCAGCAACACCAAUCAGCGAAGGCCUUAAAUAGGAGCGGCUUCCCUGAGGCACACGCCAGAUGAUUUUGCUUCAACAGUGGGGAUGAGCUUCUUAUCCAUCACAGUGUAGCAUGGCCUGCUCAAGUUGGUUCCAGAUGCAAGAAGGUCUGACUGACAUUGUCUGUCCUUGGACUCGAGAUCAUCACAACCUCAAAUGACUGCAACAAGAAACCACAUACUGCAUAUGUAUUUGUUAUAGUACAGCCUAUAACAAAAUAUCAGUUCUACAACAUUUACCUUGUUAAACACAACAAGAUGCUCCAUGGCCUGAGCACCACUGAUCUUCAGCAUUCUGUCUUUGCAGCCAGAAUAUACAGCAGCUACAAAAAUGCCCUACUCUGCCAAAAUUGACAAAACACAG
Molecule: long non-coding RNA, 1330 nt
Organism: Gambusia affinis (western mosquitofish)
Lineage: Eukaryota; Metazoa; Chordata; Actinopteri; Cyprinodontiformes; Poeciliidae
Exons: 2
Source: RefSeq, a predicted model, not a curated record